RNAcentral lists this ribosomal RNA (468 nucleotides) under uncultured bacterium. RNAcentral's name for it is "partial 16S ribosomal RNA". It matches the Rfam family "Bacterial small subunit ribosomal RNA", at positions 28 to 507 of the family's 1533-position model. The record is from RNAcentral.
GACGAACGCUGGCGGCGUGCUUAACACAUGCAAGUCGAACGGAAAGGCCCUGCUUUUGUGGGGUGCUCGAGUGGCGAACGGGUGAGUAACACGUGAGUAACCUGCCCUUGACUUUGGGAUAACUUCAGGAAACUGGGGCUAAUACCGGAUAGGAGCUCCUGCUGCAUGGUGGGGGUUGGAAAGUUUCGGCGGUUGGGGAUGGACUCGCGGCUUAUCGGCUUGUUGGUGGGGUAGUGGCUUACCAAGGCUUUGACGGGUAGCCGGCCUGGUAGGGUGACCGGCCCCAUUGGGACUGAGAUACGGCCCAGACUCCUACGGGAGGCAGCAGUGGGGAAUAUUGCACAAUGGGCGGAAGCCUGAUGCAGCAACGCCGCGUGCGGGAUGACGGCCUUCGGGUUGUAAACCGCUUUCGCCUGUGACGAAGCGUGAGUGACGGUAAUGGGUAAAGAAGCACCGGCUAACUACGUG